CUCCGCCGGCGACCGGCGCACGGGUGAGUAACACGUAUGCAACCUCGCCCCUCGUCAGGGGGACAACCCGCCGAAAGGCGGGCUAAACCCGCGUACAUGCCCACCGGGGCAUCCCGGAGGCAGGAAAGGCUUCGGCCGGACAGGGAUGGGCAUGCGGCGCAUUAGGCAGUAGGCGGGGUAACGGCCCACCUAACCGACGAUGCGUAGGGGUUCUGAGAGGAAGGUCCCCCACAUGGUACUGAGACACGGACCAGACUCCUACGGAAGGCAGCAG
Molecule: ribosomal RNA, 274 nt
Filed under: uncultured bacterium
Lineage: Bacteria
Description: partial 16S ribosomal RNA
Rfam family: Bacterial small subunit ribosomal RNA
Source: RNAcentral